GAUGAACGCUGGCGGCGUGCUUAACACAUGCAAGUCGAACGAAGCACUUUAUUUGAUUUCCUUCGGGACUGAUUAUUUUGUGACUGAGUGGCGGACGGGUGAGUAACGCGUGGGUAACCUGCCUUGUACAGGGGGAUAACAGUUGGAAACGGCUGCUAAUACCGCAUAAGCGCACAGUAUCGCAUGAUGCAGUGUGAAAAACUCCGGUGGUAUAAGAUGGACCCGCGUUGGAUUAGCUAGUUGGUGAGGUAACGGCCCACCAAGGCGACGAUCCAUAGCCGACCUGAGAGGGUGACCGGCCACAUUGGGACUGAGACACGGCCCAAACUCCUACGGGAGGCAGCAGUGGGGAAUAUUGCACAAUGGGCGAAAGCCUGAUGCAGCGACGCCGCGUGAGCGAAGAAGUAUUUCGGUAUGUAAAGCUCUAUCAGCAGGGAAGAUAAUGACGGUACCUGACUAAGAAGCACCGGCUAAAUACGUGCCAGCAGCCGCGGUAAUACGUAUGGUGCAAGCGU
This 515-nucleotide ribosomal RNA is filed under the name uncultured bacterium. RNAcentral describes it as "bacterial SSU rRNA". It matches the Rfam family "Bacterial small subunit ribosomal RNA", at positions 28 to 541 of the family's 1533-position model. The record is from RNAcentral.